AUGACCUCAAAUCAGAUGAGACUACCCGCUGAACUUAAGCAUAUCGAGAGGGCAAUAAUCC
Molecule: ribosomal RNA, 61 nt
Filed under: uncultured Craterellus
Lineage: Eukaryota; Fungi; Basidiomycota; Agaricomycetes; Cantharellales; Hydnaceae
Description: partial 28S ribosomal RNA
Source: RNAcentral